CGGCGAGUGAACAGGGAUGAGCCCAGCACCGAAGUCUGUGUCCGUUUGGGCGCUAGACAAUGUGGUGUUUAGGUCGUUCCGCAGAGGUACUGCUCCACCCCAAGUCCAGCAAUGAGUACGGUGGUACAGACUUGGCCCACAGAGGGUGAAAGGCCCGUGGGGGUGGAGGUCAGGUAUGUCGGUACCUCUCUGGAUAGACCUUGGAGUCGGGUUGUUUGUGAAUGCAGCCCGAAGUGGGUGGUAAACUCCAUCCAAGGCUAAAUAUCAACACGAGUCCGAUAGCGAACAAGUACCGUGAGGGAAAGUUGAAAAGUACUUUGAAGAGAGAGUAAACAGUACGUGAAACCGCUCAGAGGUAAACGGGUGGAGUUGAACUGCAAGCACUGAGAAUUAGCAGGAGUGAGUGUGGCUUCGGCUUGGUUUCGGUUGAGCUCGGAGGUCCGUGCUGUAGCGGGCCAUUGCCUACUGUUGGUGAUGGUGCGUAUACGCUUAUCAAGUGUUGUGCGCCUCCGAUGCCUCGAAUCGGCUUGCUCUUGUACUUCUCAGUGUGUUCACCACGACCGACACUGCUGCCUGGCUGCUGUGGUCAAACCAGUCGCAUGUUGCUCUUUGUAGCUUAAUGCGGUUGGGAUGGCAGGUGGCUCGUUAUUUCAACGCGUGUGGCUUGCUGCGCGUGUUGAGUUUCGAGUGUUACAAGCCGAUCGUAGUGGUUCUGUGCAGUGUGUCGGAGACAGCGGCUUGUGCGUGCGCGUGCCAGUUCGGUCGGCGGAUUCGGGUGUGGUUGUUGUGUUGCCUGUUCAACCAGGCCCAGCAAUGGCUCGGAAUCGUUCGGCUGGCGGUUGCGCGUGCGCAUCUCGCGGGGCCUACAGUCUGUGGUGUAGUGGUAGGCUAUCCACCCGACCCGUCUUGAAACACGGACCAAGGA
This 925-nucleotide ribosomal RNA is filed under the name Renicolidae sp. I_3_Sant. RNAcentral describes it as "partial large subunit ribosomal RNA". It matches the Rfam family "Eukaryotic large subunit ribosomal RNA", at positions 87 to 672 of the family's 3401-position model. The record is from RNAcentral. Lineage: Eukaryota; Metazoa; Platyhelminthes; Trematoda; Plagiorchiida; Renicolidae.